CAGUCCAAUUUGAAUUUCAGAUAAACAGUGAAUAAUUUUUUGGUAUCAGUACUUCCCAUGCAAUCUUUGCAACAUAUUUAUACUAAAAAAUUAUUUGUUUGUUUCAAGUUCAAA
This 114-nucleotide microRNA precursor is filed under the name Tursiops truncatus (common bottlenose dolphin). RNAcentral's name for it is "miRNA (ENSTTRG00000024722.1)". The record is from RNAcentral. Lineage: Eukaryota; Metazoa; Chordata; Mammalia; Artiodactyla; Delphinidae.